AAAGUAGUGACUGUACUCUUUAUUGUCCAACUUCCUUCUCUGUUAUCCUUCCAAGUUGAUGCUUGAGCAUCAAGCUGAUUUCACCGUCACAGGCGCUUGGGAAAAAGUGGAUGUGGACUGCAAGGAAUGAUUCUCUCUGUGAAGCAUUUUCAGAUGGCAUUCAGCGCUCAGCAGGAAAGCAGCCAUCCUCAAGCUUCCCUAGAGAGACUCAGCGGCCUCUCACCAGAACCAACCAUGCCAGCGCCCUGAUCUCCAACUUUCCGAAAUCUAGACCUUGAGAAGCCAUGGAGUCUAUACGACCUGCACACACACAGGAAAGACCACACGAGGACGCAGAGAGAACGCAGAGAAAGCAGGGAGAGAGGGGGCUCAGAAGACACCACCCCUGCCCACACCUUGAUCUGGGACAUCCAGCCUCCGGAACUGUGAGAGCCUAAA
Molecule: long non-coding RNA, 438 nt
Organism: Ailuropoda melanoleuca (giant panda)
Lineage: Eukaryota; Metazoa; Chordata; Mammalia; Carnivora; Ursidae
Exons: 3
Source: RefSeq, a predicted model, not a curated record